Molecule: long non-coding RNA, 1042 nt
Filed under: Heterocephalus glaber (naked mole-rat)
Lineage: Eukaryota; Metazoa; Chordata; Mammalia; Rodentia; Bathyergidae
Description: lncRNA (ENSHGLG00000042928.1)
Source: RNAcentral
AUGUCACCUGGUGGAACCUCUGAGGUGCAUUCUCAGAUGUACUAAGUGGCACUGAACACAGACAGAUCUUCCCAUGCAGCCGUGGCACUGCUGGGUGCUGAUUGCCAAGAAACGGCUGCCCUUCUAUCAACUUACAGCAAUCUCAGAAGCAUCACCUGGAUUGGGAGAAGGUGAGAAGUGUAAGAGAGAAAAACCACCCAGAAGGACUCCUAAACUCCUAUUGAAUAUGGGAACAUGGAAUGUUAUUAUAGAGCUUUGCCAUGCCUGGAGUUGCUCAUCCCAGAAGAAACUGUGGCUGUGAGGCUUUGAUGUCCUACUGCAAGCAUCAUGGAAGGAGAGGUGACACAGAACUGAAGUCACACAAAGAUAUGAAGGACUGACUCUAGUUGGUCUCCUGUGAGCAAGUCCCUGUGGGAAAGGAGGGUGUAUCCAAUGUCUGGAUGACAGCUGAUGGAUGUGGAGGCACCAAGGAGUUCCCAGGAAGGAGAAAGGUCCAGAAAAGGAAUACUGCUCCUGUUACUAGCACUAGUGACCACAAGAUUACACAUCUCUCAACUGAUUGAUGAGCUUCCGGGGGAAGGAGUAUAAGCCACUUGGAUGGGACAAAGGACCGCUCAUCCUGCCUCCUCAGGGCCUCAGAAUUCAGGAAAAGGAGGAACUGACAGCAUUUGAGACCGGAGAGGCCGAGGCACUGAGUGCUAGGUGGCACAAGGGGCAAGACUAGAAUUCAAGGCCUCUGAUGCCCAAGACUUCCCAACAUUGUCUUCUCCCGCGUUCCCUCCAGGACCACCGCCUCCUUCUGGGCGGGGUCUUGGGCUGCUGUCUGCGCUGAGUGUCCAGCUCUCUCCUUGGGUCGCACUCACGAUCUUCCCGCAGAGACGGCCACACUGCGAUCUUGCAUGCAGCCAGCAGGGGUCAGCAUUGCCCGCACCAAGGGUCGUCCAGCUGCGGCGGGCGAGAGCCUGAGCUCAGCGACGUUUCUCUGGCCACUUCUGGCUGAGUGUGGUGCUGCUUCUCGAUCUUGGCCACACAGUCGUUUCUG